The sequence is a transfer RNA, 82 nucleotides long. It matches the Rfam family "tRNA". From Rfam's summary of the family: Transfer RNA (tRNA) molecules are approximately 80 nucleotides in length. Their secondary structure includes four short double-helical elements and three loops (D, anti-codon, and T loops). The record is from Rfam.
GGGUGCAUGGUCUAGUGGUAUGAUUCUCGCUUCGCAUCAUCGCGACUGUGAGCGGUCCCCGGUUCGAUCCCGGGUGCAUCCA